RNAcentral lists this ribosomal RNA (498 nucleotides) under uncultured Lachnospiraceae bacterium. RNAcentral's name for it is "bacterial SSU rRNA". It matches the Rfam family "Bacterial small subunit ribosomal RNA", at positions 8 to 507 of the family's 1533-position model. Lineage: Bacteria; Bacillati; Bacillota; Clostridia; Lachnospirales; Lachnospiraceae. The record is from RNAcentral.
AGAGUUUGAUCCUGGCUCAGGAUGAACGCUGGCGGCGUGCUUAACACAUGCAAGUCGAGCGAAGCACUUUUUAGAACUCUUCGGAGGGAAGAGAGGGUGACUUAGCGGCGGACGGGUGAGUAACGCGUGGGCAACCUGCCUUACACAGGGGGAUAACAAUUAGAAAUGAUUGCUAAUACCGCAUAAGACCCCAGUACCGCAUGGUACAGAGGUAAAAACUGAGGUGGUGUAAGAUGGGCCCGCGUCUGAUUAGGUAGUUGGUGGGGUAGAAGCCUACCAAGCCGACGAUCAGUAGCCGACCUGAGAGGGCGACCGGCCACAUUGGGACUGAGACACGGCCCAAACUCCUACGGGAGGCAGCAGUGGGGAAUAUUGCACAAUGGGGGAAACCCUGAUGCAGCGACGCCGCGUGAGUGAGGAAGUAUUUCGGUAUGUAAAGCUCUAUCAGCAGGGAAGAAAAUGACGGUACCUGACUAAGAAGCCCCGGCUAACUACGCG